RNAcentral lists this transfer RNA (84 nucleotides) under Candidatus Aenigmarchaeota archaeon ex4484_224. RNAcentral's name for it is "tRNA-Ser". It matches the Rfam family "tRNA". From Rfam's summary of the family: Transfer RNA (tRNA) molecules are approximately 80 nucleotides in length. Their secondary structure includes four short double-helical elements and three loops (D, anti-codon, and T loops). The record is from RNAcentral. RNAcentral also lists the same sequence under 1 other name. Lineage: Archaea; Nanobdellati; Candidatus Aenigmatarchaeota.
GCCGGGGUCGCCUAACUGGUAGGGUGCCAGCCUGCUAAGCUGGUGGGGUUUAUCCCCGUGCGGGUUCGAAUCCCGCCCCCGGCG